AACGAACGCUGGCGGCAUGCCUAACACAUGCAAGUCGAACGAGACCUUCGGGUCUAGUGGCGCACGGGUGCGUAACGCGUGGGAACCUGCCCUUAGGUUCGGAAUAACUCCCCGAAAGGGGUGCUAAUACCGGAUAAUGUCUUCGGACCAAAGAUUUAUCGCCUUUGGAUGGGCCCGCGUUGGAUUAGCUAGUUGGUAGGGUAAAAGCCUACCAAGGCGACGAUCCAUAGCUGGUCUGGGAGGAUGAUCAGCCACACUGGGACUGGGACACGGCCCAGACUCCUACGGGAGGCAGCAGUGGGGAAUAUUGGACAAUGGGCGAAAGCCUGAUCCAGCAAUGCCGCGUGAGUGAUGAAGGCCUUAGGGUUGUAAAGCUCUUUUACCCGGGAUGAUAAUGACAGUACCGGGAGAAUAAGCGCCGGCUAACUCCGUG
This 433-nucleotide ribosomal RNA is filed under the name uncultured bacterium. RNAcentral's name for it is "partial 16S ribosomal RNA". It matches the Rfam family "Bacterial small subunit ribosomal RNA", at positions 29 to 507 of the family's 1533-position model. The record is from RNAcentral.